CUUGGUGACUAUAGCGAGGUGCUCAGAACACGAUCCCAUUCCGAACUCGAACGUUAAACACCUCAGCGCCGAUGGUACUUUGUCUUAAGGCAUGGAAGAGUAGGUCGUCGCCAAGUCCGCUAAAAGCAAAGAAUGUCUCAUACGAUGUAAAUUAUUUAAAAACCCCACUCGCUAGAAAUAGCAAGUGGGGUUUUUGUAUUAGGGGGGGAGU
This 211-nucleotide ribosomal RNA is filed under the name Maritalea mobilis. The record is from RNAcentral. Lineage: Bacteria; Pseudomonadati; Pseudomonadota; Alphaproteobacteria; Hyphomicrobiales; Devosiaceae.